CUUCGAGAUGGCCUCGCGUCCGAUUAGCUAGUUGGUGAGGUAACGGCCCACCAAGGCGACGAUCGGUAGCCGGACUGAGAGGUUGAACGGCCACAUUGGGACUGAGACACGGCCCAGACUCCUACGGGAGGCAGCAGUGGGGAAUAUUGCACGAUGGGGGAAACCCUGAUGCAGCGACGCCGCGUGGAGGAAGAAGGUCUUCGGAUUGUAAACUCCUGUUGUUGGGGAAGAUAAUGACGGUACCCAACAAGGAAGUGACGGCUAACUACGUGCCAGCAGCCGCGGUAAAACGUAGGUCACAAGCGUUGUCCGGAAUUACUGGGUGUAAAGGGAGCGCAGGCGGGAAGACAAGUUGGAAGUGAAAUCUAUGGGCUCAACCCAUAAACUGCUUUCAAAACUGUUUUUCUUGAGUAGUGCAGAGGUAGGCGGAAUUCCCGGUGUAGCGGUGGAAUGCGUAGAUAUCGGGAGGAACACCAGUGGCGAAGGCGGCCUACUGGGCACCAACUGACGCUGAGGCCCGAAAGUGUGGGUAGCAAACAGGAUUAGAUACCCUGGUAGUCCACACCGUAAACGAUGAUUACUAGGUGUUGGAGGAUUGACCCCUUCAGUGCCGCAGUUAACACAAUAAGUAAUCCACCUGGGGAGUACGACCGCAAGGUUGAAACUCAAAGGAAUUGACGGGGGCCCCCACAAGCAGUGGAGUAUGUGGUUUAAUUCGACGCAACGCGAAGAACCUUACCAAGUCUUGACAUCCCUUGACGAUGCUGGAAACAGUGUUUCUCUUCGGAGCAAGGAGACAGGUGGUGCAUGGUUGUCGUCAGCUCGUGUCGUGAGAUGUUGGGUUAAGUCCCGCAACGAGCGCAACCCUUAUGGUCAGUUACUACGCAAGAGGACUCUGGCCAGACUGCCGUUGACAAAACGGAGGAAGGUGGGGAUGACGUCAAAUCAUCAUGCCCUUUAUGACUUGGGCUACACACGUACUACAAUGGCGUUAAACAAAGAGAAGCAAGACCGCGAGGUGGAGCAAAACUCAGAAACAACGUCCCAGUUCGGACUGCAGGCUGCAACUCGCCUGCACGAAGUCGGAAUUGCUAGUAAUCGUGGAUCAGCAUGCCACGGUGAAUACGUUCCCGGGCCUUGUACACACCGCCCGUCACACCAUGAGAGCCGGGGGGACCCGAAGUCGGUAGUCUAACCGCAAGGAGGACGCCGCCGAAGGUAAAACUGGUGAUU
Molecule: ribosomal RNA, 1233 nt
Filed under: metagenome
Description: bacterial SSU rRNA
Rfam family: Bacterial small subunit ribosomal RNA
Source: RNAcentral